GCGCUGCUGGGGAGUCCCAGAACAGGACGGAACGGCCGUCCAGUGC
RNAcentral lists this non-coding RNA (46 nucleotides) under Schistosoma haematobium. RNAcentral also lists the same sequence under 1 other name. The record is from RNAcentral. Lineage: Eukaryota; Metazoa; Platyhelminthes; Trematoda; Strigeidida; Schistosomatidae.